RNAcentral lists this ribosomal RNA (475 nucleotides) under uncultured organism. Its description in RNAcentral is "partial 16S ribosomal RNA". It matches the Rfam family "Bacterial small subunit ribosomal RNA", at positions 335 to 801 of the family's 1533-position model. The record is from RNAcentral.
ACUCCUACGGGAGGCAGCAGUGGGGAAUUUUGGACAAUGGGCGAAAGCCUGAUCCAGCAAUGCCGCGUGAGUGAAGAAGGCCUUCGGGUUGUAAAGCUCUUUUGUCAGGGAAGAAACGGUGAAAGCUAAUAUCUUUUGCUAAUGACGGUAACUGAAGAAUAAGCACCGGCUAACUACGUGCCAGCAGCCGCGGUAAUAAGUAGGGUGCAAGCGUUAAUCGGAAUUACUGGGCGUAAAGCGUGCGCAGGCGGUUUUGUAAGUCUGAUGUGAAAUCCCCGGGCUCAACCUGGGAAUUGCAUUGGAGACUGCAAGGCUAGAAUCUGGCAGAGGGGGGUAGAAUUCCACGUGUAGCAGUGAAAUGCGUAGAUAUGUGGAGGAACACCGAUGGCGAAGGCAGCCCCCUGGGUCAAGAUUGACGCUCAUGCACGAAAGCGUGGGGAGCAAACAGGAUUAGAUACCCUUGUAGUCCCAUGAU